Molecule: non-coding RNA, 845 nt
Organism: Camelina sativa (false flax)
Lineage: Eukaryota; Viridiplantae; Streptophyta; Magnoliopsida; Brassicales; Brassicaceae
Source: RefSeq, a predicted model, not a curated record
CCAAGAUCAGCGACCGAGGUGAAAAAUUCACCAUACUGAUCUGCAAAUUUCUCAAUCAUCAAAGAUAUCGGUACAACAAUAAUUUUUUUUCGUUAUUGAUCUGAUAGUUUUGCAAAGAUCAAUGGCUUAUCUUUUGGUUAGUUUCGAGCUACCAUUUCCGUCAGAUCAGAUCCUGCUUCUAUUCAUGAAAGACAGCUAUAUCUAGCUAAUAUGGAUUCCGGGCUCGUCUAUUCACAUCGAUAUAUACUUAUCUCCGGAUGAGAAAGCAAAGGAUUUUAACUUGGACGCACCAUGCGACUUUGUAAGGUUGUUACUCUCUGAUAUAAGAGAAUGAAGGGCCAUUGAUUUCUGGAAAUGCUCUCUUAUCGUGUUAAAAGGUAAAUUCAGUGUUGAUGUGCUAAUUUUUUGGUAUUGAAAAACUUAUUUAUAGAGGUCAUAGUCUCUUGGGGUUAGGUGGAUAGAAAAUUUGGCAAUAGGUUUGUGAUCAUGCUAGAUUUUAAAAUUUGAGAAUAUCUUUUUUUUCUUCAGGUUGUUAUGGAAUUAAAAUUUUAUAUGCAAUUAAUUUAGCAUCUAAAUUGGAAUAUGUUUUAUAGUUUUCUAAAUAAGUUUCCAAAAAUAUAGGGCUAGUUAAAAGCUUCGGAAAUUAGUAUGUAUAUGGAAUAGUUUUUCCAUACUAAAACAACUAAAUCACUUCGGGAAUUAGUAUCCGAUAUUUAUGAUUUGAAUAUAUGCGAAAUCUCAGAAUUAUUAAUUAAUUUUAAGUAAUAUACCAAAAAAUUUAGGAUUCGUAGUUAAUGAGUCGUAUUAAAUAAUAUAAAAAACUGUUAACUUGCUUUUCUUAGGGG